Molecule: long non-coding RNA, 845 nt
Organism: Lathyrus oleraceus (garden pea)
Lineage: Eukaryota; Viridiplantae; Streptophyta; Magnoliopsida; Fabales; Fabaceae
Exons: 4
Source: RefSeq, a predicted model, not a curated record
CGGUGUUAGAUCCUCUUUCAGAAUGCUCUUUCUUCCGGCGACUCAACUCCGGUGCCCGUUGGAUCGUCCGCUUGGCUGACGGGUUUGGAGAUCAAAAGAGGUCUCUGUCAAAUCCCCUUUUCAUGUGCUCAGUCAGGAUUGGCCUUACUUGAUGCUAAACCAGAACCGUGAAUUCAGAGUAUUGGUCUGAACUUGGUUUUGGGUGGCUUGACGUUCAAAUGGAUACAAUGCCUGCCGUGUUGAAUUUGCUAAUCCUUCCUUCUGAGGCGGAUGAAGGGCCAGUUUUUCCAACGAAAUUAUAAGCCUUUUUCGUUGUUGAAGGAUGAGUAACCACGAAGGAUUUGAGGUUGAUGCUUUCAUAUUGACUUUGGCGUGAGUUCUGCUGUUAAUUCAUGUUGUUGCUCUGAAGGUUGCGUCUGAUCUCGCUUAAGAGCUUGUUGGAGUUGGACGACCUGUUGUUGAGAUUGCAUCUGAAGCUUAUGUCUCAAAAGCUGUUGGUUGUACAGAUACUGUCUUUUUGGAUCUCAACGAGUUUUGGCAAAUACCGGUUCUUGGAGCAAGCCCUUCCAAUCUGGUCAUGAACUGACUGAUGUUGUAUGGGCUGCAGAAUGUUGUGAUUUUGCACAUCUAGGCAUUGGUUUCCAGCAGGGACAAUUUGCAACAUGGUUGAGGUUUGCCUUCUGACUUGAUGUGGUGCAGUAGGGUGAUUGAGGCCUGCAGGAUUCUUGCACGGUGUCUUGUUGGCAUAAUGAAGAUGGAUUUAUUGAUGUUGCAGGUAGUAUUUCAAUGCACUUAUCAUGGCAAUUAAUGAGUUGCUUGUUGUUUAACAGGAUUAUGGUGACAAG